Molecule: long non-coding RNA, 3650 nt
Filed under: Homo sapiens (human)
Lineage: Eukaryota; Metazoa; Chordata; Mammalia; Primates; Hominidae
Description: HSALNT0285990
Source: RNAcentral
UUUCAAUUGGUGUUCUUUUUAUAUAAUUUACAUAAUUUUUAAUUUUUUUUUUACUCUCUAUAUUUUAAAAGGUAUAGAUAUAAUUAUACUGACUGGUUUAAUGUCCCUAUCUACUAAUUCUAUCAUCUUCAGAUUAUCUGUCAAAUUAUUCUGCUUCUUUGAAUACCUGGUAAUUUUGGGUUGGAUGCCAUACAUUGUAAAUCUUGGUUUCUUCCAUGCUGAACAUCAUUUCUUUUAAAAAAUAUUCCUGAAAUUCUUUGUGAGACACAAUUACAUUUCUUGGAGACAGUUUGAUUAUUUUGUGAAGAACUGAAGGAACAAUGCCUUUGUCCUGAAAUUGGUUAUAUUUUUCUUUGUGUCUUAGUCUUUUUGUUUCUUAUUGUCUUCAUAAUUAUGUGUGAUGUCUGUGCUCUGCUUUGUACUUCCCGCAUUUUUUUCUAUUACUCAUAGAACCUCUUGCUGUGGUAUUGAUUAUAAAUUUCACAAACACCAACCUAGCAAUCUCAUUUAAAAUAGAAAAGUUGCUUCAUUCUGUGUAUUUUUAUCAACCACAGAAAGGAUUCUGAUUUGCCUUCUUAAGGGAUGUAACCGUUAUUUGAAACAACCAUUAUUGCUAGGAAUUAAGUGUUAUGUUUAGACUGGCCUAUUCAGAAGAAAGAUGAUAGGAAAUAGUACUGAGUACACAUACAACAAAACAAUAGCUUCUUAAAUGUACUACAUCAGAGUAAUAUUAUUAUGCUCAUAUAUUGCUGGAAGGUAAUUAAGUUAUAAGCUUCCUGGAAAUAAACUUUUAAAUAUGUUUCAAAAACCUUAAAAUUGUUGAUAUUUAUGGCCUAGCAAUUCCAUUUCUGGGAAUUGACAUUACAGAAAUAUUGAGACAGACAUAUCAAUGUUUACAUAAAAGUAUAUUUAUUAUAACAGAUAACAGAAAAAUUCAAAACAUUUUUAAUGCCCAUUUUUAGGACAAUGUUUAAAUAAAAUAUGGGAUAUCUAUCUAACAGAAUAUAAUGUAUUAUUAAAGUAUUGUUUAAAAAUAUUUGCAUUUGAUCACUUUUUAUUUACUCAUAUUAUGUUGAAAUUAGAAUUUCAAUAGUAAAAUUGUAUCUGCACAUGAUAACUUCAGCGAUUGUAAUAUAUAUGUGUGUGGUGUAUGUGCACACAUUAGAAAAAUCACCUUCAGGAACUGUCCAGAUUAAAAUACACUGACAAAUUAACAGUAAAUGUCACAUUACAAUAGACUUUUGGGGGAUUAUUUUUUCUUAUAGUACUUUGCAAUUUCCAAAUUUUCGACAAUGAACAUGUUACCUUUAAAGUCCUUUUUUCUAAUGUAUAUGAAAAAUAUUUAGAACUCAGUAAUUAUUUAUAUUGCUAAGAACAGAGGCCAAAAUGUAGAAGACAUUCAUCCUCUUAGCAACAUUGACUGGUUCAGGCGUGAAUAAAUCACACAAGCAGGCUCAAUAAGACUUUUUCCCUGGCAUUGACACACGGCCUAUAGAACUUCAUUCUAUUCAGGUCUGUUCCUGACCAACAUUUCUGUACAUGUUUGUCACUGGUCACAGAGAAGACUUGGAGAAAAUUGAAUUGGUUCAGCAUAAUCUUUCUCCACAGUUAGAACUUUACAUGUCAAAGAUUAUUUUAGGCUUAUAUUAUUUUGAAGAAUAUAACUAUAUAUUUAUUUAGUAACUUUCUUCAUGCAACUCAAAUUGUAUGAAUUACUUUAUUCUUCAUUUUUUAAAAAACUUUCUAACAUACACAAAUGUGAAGGAUAGUGAAAUUAGCUUCCAGAUAUCCAAUAUCCCAAUGGUAGAAUUUUCAAGCUUAGAUGCUCAUGUUUCAUCUACUCCUCUUCCUUAUUUUUGAAAAAUAUGUUAAAGAAAAUCCAAGACAUUCUGAAGUUUCAUUCCAGUAUACUUCAGUGUGCAUCUCAAAAGCCAUGAAUAUUUAUUUACAUAAACACAAUGCCAUUAGCACAUAUUUGAAGUUUGAUAAAAAACUAUUUUGUGCUCGGGGGACUGACAUAAAAUAAUUAGCACCCUCAGAAAGGGUUAAACAACUUUAACAGAACUAUUUACAAAUACAUCGGUGAAAAUUAGGAAAACCAACAAGGGAGAGGGCAGUAUUGUGGGACAAACAGCAUCAAGAGCCAUUAACACUAAUAUGACUAAAGAACAAAGGAGAGAUAGGUAAUUAACAAACUCUUGAGGCUCUACUGUGAAAGGAAAAUAAAUCUUGGGGCCCCAAAAUCACUAAGGUGAAGGGAAAAGUCAAGCUGGGAACUGCUUAGGAUAAAUAUGCCUCCCAUUCUGUUUAAAGUUACCCCUCUACUCACUGAGAUAAAUGCAUAUCUAUCUGAUUGCCUCCUUUGGAGAGGGAAUCAGAAACUCGAAAGAAUGCAACUAUUUGUGUCUUAUCUACCUAUGACCUGGAAGCCACAUCCCUGCUUCGAGUCAUCCCACCUUUGUUUUGAGUUGUCCUGCCUUUCCAGACUGAACCAAUGUUCAUAUGUUGAUUGAUGCCUCAUGUCUCCCUCACAUGUAUAAAACCAAACUGUGCUCUGACCACCUUGGGCACAUGUUGUCAAGACCUCCUGAGGCUGUCUCAGUGGUGCAUGUCCUCACACUUGGCAAAAUAAACUUUCUAAAUUAGCUGAGACUUGUCUCAGAUAGUUGGAGUUCACAUUUUUGUAACCACGGAGGGAUUCUGAGUGGAUAUUUCCCUGACAUUUGACAAAUCUCCUAUCAGUGCUUGGUAGAGCAUGAGCUAACUUUAUGGCUGAAACCAAUAGGACAAUUUGUUCAGGUCUGGGGGGAGGUGCAGCUCAUCCAGAGAAUCCCUAAUCUCCCAGAAUUUGGUUGAGAUAUAAAGUUUAUUUUGCUCUUCAACUUCCCUUUUUCUUUUUCUUUUUUUUUUUUUUUUUUUGGAGUUUUACUUGCUUCCAACAAGGAAGACAAGAUUUCCUGCUUCCAUGACAAUAGAAGGCAGAUAACCCCUUUAUGGAGUUUGAGCUUGCUCCCAGCAGAGGAUGAGUUGAGUUUUUUCCCUGCUGCUAGAUGGUAGAGGACAGUAUUCAGCCUGAGACCCAUCCCUAGAGUCAAGGAAACUUUUAUUUUGAGCUAUUGUAAGGUUUCAACAAUUUAGUAUACUCCUAUGAAGAAAAUUUGGAGCGUAUUUGUUUCUCUUUACCUGAUUUCUCCAGAAUUUGGAAACUAUUUGCGAGUAGUCUUAACUUACAGCAAUAUGGCUAUUUGCAUAAGUGCAAAUAAAAAUCUGUUAUAAUUUGUAACAGGACACAAUGGGAGAAACUGGUUAUUUUACCAAGGCUUUCACUGGAAUGAUGUGCUUUCCUUUAAGAAAUCAAACUUAACUUAUGGAGCCAAUAAAAACCCAUUGGGAAAACUGGCCUCAUACCUUGUUUACACAGCCCAUGUACAGGGUUCGUGACCUGGGGUAAGUAAAGAAUGUCACUUUCUGACAGGCUCAGGAGCCCUAAGUUUAUCUUGGGACCUUAAGAGGAGAAGAUCACCCAACUCAUGGGUAUUUGAUGGUACAAAUCCAUGGCUGGGCUCAGCUUUAAAAGAGUCUUAUCUGAGAUUCCUUCUAUAGGACAAAGUUCCAUCAAAGCCAAUUUAAAAGCCUAUGUAAAAAAUAAU